CAGUAGCCGCGGGAAUACGUAGGUGGCAAGCGUUGUCCGGAAUUAUUGGGCGUAAAGGGCUCGCAGGCGGUUUCUUGAGUCUGAUGUGAAAGCCCCCGGCUCAACCGGGGAGGGUCAUUGGAAACUGGGAAACUUGAGUGCAGAAGAGGAGAGUGGAAUUCCACGUGUAGCGGUGAAAUGCGUAGAGAUGUGGAGGAACACCAGUGGCGAAGGCGACUCUCUGGUCUGUAACUGACGCUGAGGAGCGAAAGCGUGGGGAGCGAACAGGAUUAGAUACCCCGGUAGUCCCUGUCUCUUAUAC
This 301-nucleotide ribosomal RNA is filed under the name uncultured bacterium. RNAcentral describes it as "partial 16S ribosomal RNA". It matches the Rfam family "Bacterial small subunit ribosomal RNA", at positions 509 to 807 of the family's 1533-position model. The record is from RNAcentral.